This is an RNA transcript of Dreissena polymorpha, 1372 nucleotides long. RefSeq lists it as uncharacterized. NCBI's taxonomy places the organism in Eukaryota, Metazoa, Mollusca, Bivalvia, Myida, Dreissenidae. The record is from RefSeq and is a predicted model, not a curated record. The transcript has 5 exons.
AAGAGACUGAUACCGAAAGUUGGUCGUAGUUUUCAAGAUGGCGUCUGUAAAUCUCCACGCGAGAAAUCGCAACGAAGACAAAAUAAUGUUAUUUUAUUGUUUUGACGAUGCAAAAGCUUACAUAAAAAGAAAUGAAAUUGAUACGAAUAACCUACAUAAUUGGUUACAGCACAAAAAACUUUGGUAAUUCAGUUUUUACUUCAUCCUCCCAUAAGGUUUGUUGGGUCCAUGGGGUGAAUCCUUAUAUGUAUGUGAGCCUUGGACAUCAGGUUCUGAAAUGCCACCAUGGUGCAGACAAGAAUAAGAAGAGAAAACUGGAAAAGGAGAAGACAAAGACAGUUAGCAGUGAGCAACAUUCAUAUGCUAAAUAGAAAACAAGGCAUGCAGUGCAGCUCUCCAAAAAAUUGGACUGUCCUGCUUCUAUCAUUCUGAAGGAAGUGUUGAUAUUCACCCCUGUAGAGGGUUCAUCAAGCGAGCUGGACAAAAAAAUGGCUGCUUCUAAUGUGAGGAGUGAUCUGAGUAAAGGCAUCAAGAAGAUAAUGGUGGUGUUUCCUAACAUCGAACACAAGUACCAUACAAGUGGAGAGAACGCUGGGCUGUUGCAACGUAUCGACAGUGAUGUUGCCUCAAAAAUUAAAGAACUUGUGGUGGAAGAGGGCGUUGCAAAUGUUGAAGAAAUGCAACGCCAUCUGACCUCAUUUGUUAUGAAGAAUGUAACACCUGCUCCAUCAAGAACUAAAAGGAGAUUCGCCCCUACAAAAAAAGUGAUCAGAUAUCACAUGAAUAAGGCAGCAAAGAAGGGUUGUGAUAGCAAUGAUGACCAACACAACUUAGUUCAGCUUGUGAGUGUGAUUAGUGUGUAAUUAACAGUUACUUCAAUACAGAUAUAUAUAUUUAUCACAUGCCAUACCCUGCUUCCCCUUGUAAUAUAACCAUUACGAAUAUUUUUAUCUUACACAUGUGUAAUAUACUUUUUAAGGAUUUUCAUUGGCUUAUUUUCGUUUGAUUGACCAAUCGCAUUUUGUUAUGUUGCUGAAAUAACAUUGCAAAGUCAAAUGACGUCACGAAAUGUAAACAGCAUUUCGGAUUUAUCAUUAAGUUUGCGAAAAUAUUUUAAUAAUUUUUUGUGUCCGGAGCCAUAUCUUGGAAGUGCUUUGGCGGAUUUCAUUGAAACUUGGUAUGAGUAUAAAUAUGGAUAAGAGGAUGAUACGUAACAUUUGACAGAGUUAUACAUCUCAUUAAGCGAAAUUUAAGAAAUUGUGUUAUUAUAUUUUCAUAUAUUACCUUCGGCCUAAGAUGCUAAGGUCAUACAUUGUUUUGUAAACGAAACAUGCGACAUAAUUUUCCUUUAUCAUUUACAUUUGUUGUAAAU